CCUACGGGGGGCUGCAGUGGGGAAUAUUGGACAAUGGGGGGAACCCUGAUCCAGCCAUGCCGCGUGUGUGAAGAAGGCCCUCGGGUUGUAAAGCACUUUCAGUGAGGAAGAACGCCUGGUGGUUAAUACCCAUCAGGAAAGACAUCACUCACAGAAGAAGCACCGGCUAACUCCGUGCCAGCAGCCGCGGUAAUACGGAGGGUGCGAGCGUUAAUCGGAAUUACUGGGCGUAAAGCGCGCGUAGGUGGCUUGAUAAGCCGGUUGUGAAAGCCCCGGGCUCAACCUGGGAACGGCAUCCGGAACUGUCAAGCUAGAGUGCAGGAGAGGAAGGUAGAAUUCCCGGUGUAGCGGUGAAAGGCGUAGAGAUCGGGAGGAAUACCAGUGGCGAAGGCGGCCUUCUGGACUGACACUGACACUGAGGUGCGAAAGCGUGGGUAGCAAACAGGAUUAGAUACCCGAGUAGUC
RNAcentral lists this ribosomal RNA (465 nucleotides) under Vreelandella stevensii. RNAcentral's name for it is "partial 16S ribosomal RNA". It matches the Rfam family "Bacterial small subunit ribosomal RNA", at positions 338 to 795 of the family's 1533-position model. The record is from RNAcentral. Lineage: Bacteria; Pseudomonadati; Pseudomonadota; Gammaproteobacteria; Oceanospirillales; Halomonadaceae.